UCCACAUCAGAAGGCCAGGGUUCUUCAGUGCGGGACUGGAGUCUGCACCAGAAACCAAGGGGCCAGAAAGCCAAGGGGCCAGGGCUGAAGACUCCUGCGUCUGCACCAAGACCCAGGAGAUGACUCCCAGGAGAAGGCAGCCUGGAGCUGCUCCAAAGAGAACAGCAGUGGAGGCUCAGCUCGCGAAGCUCUUCCGAGGGUGGGAAGCAGGUGAGAGAUAUGCUACUGGAAACUAUGGUUUAAGGAAAUGUGUCUGGUUAUCAAGUUGACCAGGAGUGGACUGUGCAGGGUUAACUAUUGGUCACCUUGUAACACGCAGCUGAACUGAAUCAGCACGGUUCUGGGUGUGGAAGACCCAUCUGAGGACUGUUGCCAACAGCAUAAAAAUGAGAACUGGAGAGAAUGGUGGUGUGCUGUUGAUUCUCCUGGAGAAGCUUGUCACUCUGCUUUUCCUGAUAUGAACUCAGCUGUUUCCAUUUUUGGCGGAGCUCGGGUCUUCAGCUGGACUCAUGCAGGACAUUGCUGUGGAAUCCAGCCUCUCAGCUGGAUUCUUUGGGUCUCUAGUGCGUGGACAGCAAUCCUGCACUCCUUUACAUUUGACUGUGGGUGAAUAUUAUAACUCUAUAAAUUGUAUCAUGUAUUAAAUCUUUUCCCUUGUAAAUCACUAGCAGCAACACUAGUGAUUAAUGACUUGUGAAUUCUGUAAAAAGCCCAUAUUCUUCAUGAUGUGGCCAAUAAAAUCUCUGCUUAGUUA
Molecule: long non-coding RNA, 754 nt
Organism: Cavia porcellus (domestic guinea pig)
Lineage: Eukaryota; Metazoa; Chordata; Mammalia; Rodentia; Caviidae
Exons: 2
Source: RefSeq, a predicted model, not a curated record